AUUGAACGCUGGCGGCAUGCUUUACACAUGCAAGUCGAACGGUAACAGGCCUUCGGGUGCUGACGAGUGGCGAACGGGUGUGUAAUGCAUCGGAACGUACCCAGAGGUGGGGGAUAACGCAGCGAAAGCUGUGCUAAUACCGCAUGUGAUCUGAGGAUGAAAGCGGGGGACCGAGCAGCAAUGUUUGGCCUCGCGCCUUUGGAGCGGCCGAUGUCGGAUUAGCUAGUUGGUUGGGUAAAGGCCUACCAAGGCGACGAUCCGUAGCUGGUCUGAGAGGACGAUCAGCCACACUGGGACUGAGACACGGCCCAGACUCCUACGGGAGGCAGCAGUGGGGAAUGUUGGACAAUGGGCGCAAGCCUGAUCCAGCAAUGCCGCGUGCGGGAAGAAGGUCUUCGGGUUUUAAAACGCGUUUGGCAGGAACGAAACGGUGUCCGCUAAUACCGGGCGCUAAUGACGGUACCUGCAGAAUAAGCACCGGCUAACUACGUG
RNAcentral lists this ribosomal RNA (492 nucleotides) under uncultured bacterium. RNAcentral's name for it is "partial 16S ribosomal RNA". It matches the Rfam family "Bacterial small subunit ribosomal RNA", at positions 30 to 507 of the family's 1533-position model. The record is from RNAcentral.